RNAcentral lists this ribosomal RNA (253 nucleotides) under uncultured bacterium. RNAcentral's name for it is "partial 16S ribosomal RNA". It matches the Rfam family "Bacterial small subunit ribosomal RNA", at positions 524 to 776 of the family's 1533-position model. The record is from RNAcentral.
UACGGAGGGGGCUAGCGUUGUUCGGAAUUACUGGGCGUAAAGCGCACGUAGGCGGCUACUCAAGUCAGAGGUGAAAGCCCGGGGCUCAACCCCGGAACGGCCUUUGAAACUAGGUAGCUAGAAUUCUGGAGAGGUCAGUGGAAUUCCGAGUGUAGAGGUGAAAUUCGUAGAUAUUAGGAAGAACACCAGUGGCGAAGGCGGCUCACUGGUCCGGUACUGACGCUGAGGUGCGAAAGCGUGGGGAGCAAACAGG